GGUGUGUUUGCUCAGUCAGUAGAGCGUCCGCCUCACAACCGGGAGGUCGUGGUUUCGAACCCCGUCCGCGUCA
This is a non-coding RNA of Strongylocentrotus purpuratus (purple sea urchin), 73 nucleotides long. NCBI's taxonomy places the organism in Eukaryota, Metazoa, Echinodermata, Echinoidea, Camarodonta, Strongylocentrotidae. The record is from Rfam.